GGAGGCCAACCAGGAGUAAUGAGCCAACCAGGAACUCGGCACUACCGGGACAAGUGCAGCAAAAUGUACUCUGUCUGUCAGGCAGAAUAAACACAACCUUCACCACAAGGACUGAUUGAGGAAGGCCCUACCACUCUGUUCUGCAGAUACACGUUCUUCACCCAUUGCAGGAACAUUGUCUUUCACAAUCUCGGGCACAUACUCUUCCAUGAAAAUGACUGAGCAUAUUUAAGGGUCCUGUGCCGGAGGUGGAAGCGUGUCCAGUAAAACACGGUAGUGUCUAAUUUAACAUCCGCUGUCGGGCCGGUUAGAAGGACUCGCUGUCUCUUCAGUUUGGUACUGGGCACUGCAUUCAGUCAGGACCUUGGGAAUCCAGACUGGAAUCCCGGUGGGAGAGAUCUAGUCCCCACUGCGCUUCACCCUGGGAAAACCGACCAACAUGCAGUUGCUUCGCGUUCCUUUAUUUCAUUCACAGCAGAGAAGGUGUAAAUAAUUUGCCCUGUCUUCUGUGGCUGUGGUUCCGUGGAGCCGGGUGAGAGACAGGACUCAGGCCAGCUCAGUGGGCAUGAAUCAGCUCUGACCCAUCCACCAUUUUCAGUGGAGCCGACUUCCUCAGCACACUGAAUCACGGAGCUCUCAUUCGUUCAGCUGACGUCUUUAAAGCGAGGAUUUUUACCAAAAGUGGAUUUAGCUAAAAUGUCUGCCAGCCAGUAAAAACAGAGAUGGGUAGAGGACAAAUAUUUCAGCUGCUGAAUUCAAAAUAGUUCUGCACUCGAACUGUUUUUCCCAGUAAAGAUGUGCCUAAACUCACAGGCUAAAAUAAUAGUGCAAUCUGAUUCCGUUAAAAAUGUCAAAUGUUUAAAAAAAAAAAAAAAAGUAUGGUUUUUCAGAAUUUCCUUAGUAACUCACCAGUAACCUUGUAGAAACUCUUAAUUGUUACUCCCUCAGAGAAUAACAUAAUUUGACUGAUAAGUGCAGUAUUCCAAAAGUCAUGCUUUUGCUGAUAGUGGGACUUUAAUGAAUUUUUAGUAGCAUAGUGAAACAAAAAUAAGCAUCUUUUCCUUAUUUUAUUCAAAAUAGUUCAAAGCAACAUAUAAAAAAGUCA
Anguilla anguilla (European eel) is the source of this 1105-nucleotide long non-coding RNA. RefSeq lists it as uncharacterized. The record is from RefSeq and is a predicted model, not a curated record. NCBI's taxonomy places the organism in Eukaryota, Metazoa, Chordata, Actinopteri, Anguilliformes, Anguillidae. The transcript is spliced from 4 exons.